AAGACCUUGCGCUUUUGGAGCGGCCGAUGUCUGAUUAGCUAGUUGGUGGGGUAAUGGCCUACCAAAGCUUCGAUCAGUAGCUGGUCUGAGAGGACGGCCAGCCACACUGGGACUGAGACACGGCCCAGACUCCUACGGGAGGCAGCAGUGGGGAAUUUUGGACAAUGGGCGCAAGCCUGAUCCAGCCAUGCCGCGUGAGUGAAGAAGGCCUUCGGGUUGUAAAGCUCUUUCAGCCGGGAAGAAAAGGUUGCGAUUAAUAAUCGCAAUUGAUGACGGUACCGGAAGAAGAAGCACCGGCUAACUACGUGCCAGCAGCCGCGGUAAUACGUAGGGUGCGGGCGUUAAUCGGAAUUACUGGGCGUAAAGGGUGCGCAGGCGGUUUUGUAAGUCAGAUGUGAAAUCCCCGGGCUUAACCUGGGAACU
Molecule: ribosomal RNA, 423 nt
Filed under: uncultured bacterium
Lineage: Bacteria
Description: bacterial SSU rRNA
Rfam family: Bacterial small subunit ribosomal RNA
Source: RNAcentral